Molecule: ribosomal RNA, 342 nt
Filed under: uncultured eukaryote
Lineage: Eukaryota
Description: SSU rRNA
Rfam family: Eukaryotic small subunit ribosomal RNA
Source: RNAcentral
CAAUAGCGUAUAUUAAAGUUGUUGCGGUUAAAAGCUCGUAGUUGGAUUUCUGCCGAGGACGACCGGUCCGCCCUCUGGGUGAGCAUCUGGCUCGGCCUGGGCAUCUUCUUGGAGAACGUAUCUGCACUUGACUGUGUGGUGCGGUAUUCAGGACUUUACUUGAGAAAAUUAGAGUGUUUCAGGCAGGCUAGGCCGGAAUACAUUAGCAUGGAAUAAUGGAAUAGGACUACGGUCUCUUUGUUGGUUUGAGGGACUGCAGUAAUGAUUAAUAGGGGAUAGUUGGGGGCAUUAGUACUUAACUGUCAGAGGUGGAAUUCUCAGAUUUGUUAAAGACUGACUUAU